GUGUAAGUGUAAAAAUGAAGCAGAUGGUUUAACUUGUGGGAAUCUGAAGACGUGGGACCCAACACAGUGUUCAUGCAUUUGCAAACAGCCACUGUUCUGUUCUACAGGAGCACGUGUUCACCCUGUCUCUUGCAAGUGCAUUUCAAACAAAACAAUGAAAUAUGAAGACAUGGGAAGAGAUUCUGAGUAACUGAAACAUCUCUGUGUACACAUGGAAACUCUCGGUGUUUGCUUGUGGCCAUUUCUCCAUCUUAGUAUUAUCACUUGAGUCUUUAAAUGCAGAAAGUAUGAAAAUAUUCAUGUGCUUGUAAAUAAUAGGCAAGUACAGCUGUAAUUAUGGAAGAAAUUCUGAAAUUAGUAUUCAUUGUUAAUAUUGUGUUGGCAACCUUUCAUAAAAUGGAAGACUGGAGGAUUACUUCGUUUAAAGACUGUACUGCCUAUCACUACCAAAACAUUAAACAAAUCAGAUCAGAUAUAAAGAUUGACAACUAAAAUGACUACUGAUAUCUCUCUAAAUGCCAGUAAGAUCUGAUUAAAAAAUAUCCCAUUUGACCGGAGAUAAAAGUGUGACAAGGAAAGGUGCAGGGUGACUGAGUCACCGGCAAGGAGACAUAUUUCUUCUCUGUUUUGCUGACAAAGUGUGACUUAAAAACAAAUGUUUUGAAAUAUGCUGGUAGGACCUUUCUGUCUAUAAUGCAAAAAAAUGUCUGACUGAAAUAACCUCACGUCAACAUGGCUGGAGCACGAAGAAGAAGAGUAACUAAAUACCGAAUUUUUUUAAAUGUUUCCCACACUGAAACACAUAUUGAAAUAUGUAAGCGAAGUGGUGUUAUACAUGUCUAAACAUUUUAUUGUAUGUAAAACUAUGACUCAAAAUGUUUUAGUAUACUCAUCACAUGAUCCUUGUUAUGAAUGCUUGCACUUGUAUGUAGAAAUUUGUGUGUGCAUGUGAUGUAUGUUAAAUCAAUUAUGUAUGUUUACUUGCAUUCAGUAGGCGUGGGUUUCACCCUUCAAAGAUGCACUAAGUACUGCAGUGUUUCUGUCAGUGCUAUGCUAAAAUGUAAAUAACCCAUACACAAGUACCAAGAUGAAAUUAAAUGUAUAUUUUUUUCCCUGUG
This is a non-coding RNA of Zootermopsis nevadensis, 1118 nucleotides long. Lineage: Eukaryota; Metazoa; Arthropoda; Insecta; Blattodea; Termopsidae. The record is from RefSeq and is a predicted model, not a curated record.